AUUAUCGCGCCAGCAGCAUUACGCGUAGUGAAAUAUUUCAAUAGAUACCACUAUCUGUGCGAUUUAAUAGCAAAACAUUAUUGCUAAACAGGGAUUAGAGACCCCUUUAUACAAAUGCUCAUUAUAAUUUGCAGAGGACUACAACUAUCUGAGUUAAAACUUAAGCAACAUGGCGGUAAUUUUAAUUUAGGGGAACUUACUUAGUAAUUGAUAACCACCAAGGUAAAUCAACUUCCCAAAAAUCUUGUAUGCCGUCGUCGUCAGGUAGCACUUGAGGUUCUACCUUAAGAGUAUUUCUAAAAAGACAGAUCAAGGUGCAGACAAUUGUGAAGUUCUGGCGAGUUACAGUUUUUAUUAUUAACGAAUACAUAAGGUGUAAUUCAAUGUUGAAGGUGGACUUAACAGUAAUAAAUAAUAAUUUUAUUUUAUGAA
RNAcentral lists this ribosomal RNA (432 nucleotides) under Sphaerospira zebina. RNAcentral's name for it is "partial 12S ribosomal RNA". The record is from RNAcentral. Lineage: Eukaryota; Metazoa; Mollusca; Gastropoda; Stylommatophora; Camaenidae.